Molecule: ribosomal RNA, 484 nt
Filed under: uncultured bacterium
Lineage: Bacteria
Description: partial 16S ribosomal RNA
Rfam family: Bacterial small subunit ribosomal RNA
Source: RNAcentral
AUUGAACGCUGGCGGCAGGCCUAACACAUGCAAGUCGAGCGGAUGAAGGGAGCUUGCUCCUGGAUUCAGCGGCGGACGGGUGAGUAAUGCCUAGGAAUCUGCCUGGUAGUGGGGGAUAACGUCCGGAAACGGGCGCUAAUACCGCAUACGUCCUGAGGGAGAAAGUGGGGGAUCUUCGGACCUCACGCUAUCAGAUGAGCCUAGGUCGGAUUAGCUAGUUGGUGGGGUAAAGGCCUACCAAGGCGACGAUCCGUAACUGGUCUGAGAGGAUGAUCAGUCACACUGGAACUGAGACACGGUCCAGUCUCCUACGGGAGGCAGCAGUGGGGAAUAUUGGACAAUGGGCGAAAGCCUGAUCCAGCCAUGCCGCGUGUGUGAAGAAGGUCUUCGGAUUGUAAAGCACUUUAAGUUAGGAGGAAGGGCAGUAAGUUAAUACCUUGCUGUUUUGACGUUACCAACAGAAUAAGCACCGGCUAACUUCGUG